GACGAACGCUGGCGGCGUGCUUAACACAUGCAAGUCGAACGGAAAGGCCCUGCUUUUGUGGGGUGCUCGAGUGGCGAACGGGUGAGUAACACGUGAGUAACCUGCCCUUGACUUUGGGAUAACUUCAGGAAACUGGGGCUAAUACCGGAUAGGAGCUCCUGCUGCAUGGUGGGGGUUGGAAAGUUUCGGCGGUUGGGGAUGGACUCGCGGCUUAUCAGCUUGUUGGUGGGGUAGUGGCUUACCAAGGCUUUGACGGGUAGCCGGCCUGAGAGGGUGACCGGCCACAUUGGGACUGAGAUACGGCCCAGACUCCUACGGGAGGCAGAAGUGGGGAAUAUUGCACAAUGGGCGGAAGCCUGAUGCAGCAACGCCGCGUGCGGGAUGACGGCCUUCGGGUUGUAAACCGCUUUCGCCUGUGACGAAGCGUGAGUGACGGUAAUGUGUAAAGAAGCACCGGCUAACUACGUG
Molecule: ribosomal RNA, 468 nt
Filed under: uncultured bacterium
Lineage: Bacteria
Description: partial 16S ribosomal RNA
Rfam family: Bacterial small subunit ribosomal RNA
Source: RNAcentral